AACACGAACAGAUGGUCAACAACACGAACAGAUGGUCAACAACACUAACAGAUGGUCAACAACACGAACAGACUGUCAACAACACUAACAGAUGGUCAACAACACGAACAGAUGGUCAACAACACGAACAGAUGGUCAACAACACGAACAGAUGGUCAACAACACGAACAGAUGGUCAACAACACGAACAGAUGGUCAACAACACGAACAGAUGGUCAACAACACUAACAGAUGGUCAACAACACUAACAGAUGGUCAACAACACUAACAGAUGGUCAACAACACGAACAGAUGGUCAACAACACGAACAGAUGGUCAACAACACUAACAGAUGGUCAACAACACUAACCCACCAGUCAACACAAAGCACUGGUGGUCUCAUACGGGCAAAUCAACUUAAAUUUAGCAAUAUUUUAUAUUUGAGAUUCUUCAAAGUAGCUACCCUUUGCCUUGGUGACAGCUUUGCACACUCUUGGCAUUCUCUCAACCAGCUUCACGAGGUAGUCACCUGGAAUGCAUUUCAAUUAACAGGUGUGCCUUAAGUUAAUUUGUGGAAUUUCUUUCCUUCUUAAUGCGUUUGAGCCAAUCGGUUGUGUUGUGACAAGGUAGGGGUGGUAUACGGAGGAGGAGGUGUGAUGGUGCUUUGCUGGUGACACUGUUUGUGAUAUAUUUAGAAUUCAAGGCACACUUAACCAGCAUGGCUACCACAGCGAUACUCCAUCACAUCUGGUUUGGGCUUCAACAGGGCAAUGACCCAAUACACCUCCAGGCUGUGCAAUGGCCAUUUUACCAAGAAGGAGAGUGGUGGAGUGCUGCAUCAGAUGACCUGGCCUCCACAAUCACCUGACCUUAACCCAAUUGAGAUGGUUUGGGAUGAGUUGGACCGCAGAGUGAAGGAAAAGCAGCCAACAAGUGCUCAGCAUAUGUGGGAACUCCUUCAAAACUGUUGGAAAAGCAUUCCAGGUGAAGCUGGUUGAGAGAAUACCAAGAGUGUGCAAAGCUGUCAUCAAGGCAAAGAGUGGCUACUUUGAAGAACUUAAAAUAUCAAAUAUAUUUUGAUUUGUUUAACACUUUUUUGGUUACUACAUGAUUCCAUAUGUGUUAUUUCAUAGUGUUGAUGUCUUCACUAUUAUUCUACAAUGUAGAAAACACCAUAAGGGUUGAGCAGUGAUAACAGCCUGUCUUUAUAGGAGGCGACCCACCAUAAGGGCUGAGCAGUGAUAACGGCCUGUCUUUAUAGGAGGCGAC
This 1248-nucleotide long non-coding RNA is filed under the name Salmo salar (Atlantic salmon). Its description in RNAcentral is "lncRNA (ENSSSAG00000112043.1)". Lineage: Eukaryota; Metazoa; Chordata; Actinopteri; Salmoniformes; Salmonidae. The record is from RNAcentral.